RNAcentral lists this ribosomal RNA (311 nucleotides) under uncultured eukaryote. Its description in RNAcentral is "partial 18S ribosomal RNA". It matches the Rfam family "Eukaryotic small subunit ribosomal RNA", at positions 1470 to 1796 of the family's 1831-position model. The record is from RNAcentral.
CCCUUAGAUGUCCUGGGCCGCACGCGUGCUACACUGAUGCAUACAGCGAGUACUCCCAGCUCCGAGAGGCUGCUGGUAAUCAGCAAUAUGCAUCGUGAUGGGGAUAGAUCUUUGGAAUUAUAGAUCUUGAACGAGGAAUUCCUAGUAAUCGCAGUUCAUCACCCUGCGUUGACUAAGUCCCUGCCCUUUGUACACACCGCCCGUCGCUCCUACCGAUUUCGAGUGAUCCGGUGAAUCAUUCGGACCGCGGCCCCUAGGCAUGCGGAAAGUCUAGUAAACCAUAUCACUUAGAGGAAGGAGAAGUCGUAACA